Nothoprocta perdicaria is the source of this 624-nucleotide long non-coding RNA. RefSeq lists it as uncharacterized. The transcript has 3 exons. NCBI's taxonomy places the organism in Eukaryota, Metazoa, Chordata, Aves, Tinamiformes, Tinamidae. The record is from RefSeq and is a predicted model, not a curated record.
UUUCUUCUGCCCAAGGGACCUCUUCCAUUGAUUCUAUGGUGUCUGUUGUAUCGGAUUGGAUUCCAGGGUUUGUAAAAUAGCUAAAUCUAUUCAUCAUCACCCAGACGAUUAAUUUCUGCUGCUAUUAAGUCCAUAAGACUUGUUGGUGGGAGGUGAAACUGAACCCCAUUUUCUAAUUUGCACUCAGUCUGCUUCUCAAGAAAUGAAGGCUAAKGGGAGGAAAAAUCUACCCCGAUUCUUCACUCCUAGGUGCCUGUUUAUCUGAAUGCAAGUUGUUUUUACCAGUGUAAAUGGCAGCAGGGCAGCUGGGGAGGCCUGAAAUAACUGUGCGUGCAGGACUGGGGAGACCAGACCCCAGCGAAAAUCCCCCGUGCUCUGAGACGAGAGGGAGAGAAGAAAUCAAUGCAUUUGAGCAAGAAUUGAAACAAGUUAAGAGCUGUAUGCUUAUUAGCUCCUCACAGCAAAAUAAUCUGCCACUGAAAGCAGACAGGGAGGAAGAUCACAAUGACUGUAAUGGAACACAGAUUGGUUUAAUAGUAUCAGAAACUCUUUUGAAGGCAGCUGCGUAGCUCAGAGCAGGUGGGUGCAGCUCAACAGGGAGGCCUAUCUCUAGGUAGAGACUUU